Molecule: long non-coding RNA, 3161 nt
Organism: Megalobrama amblycephala (Wuchang bream)
Lineage: Eukaryota; Metazoa; Chordata; Actinopteri; Cypriniformes; Xenocyprididae
Exons: 5
Source: RefSeq, a predicted model, not a curated record
AGUACCAAUUGAACAUCAUUUAAACACCACAGCCUACCUGAGUAUUGUUACUUUAUGACCACAGUGUACACAUCUUCUGAUGGAUACUUCCAGCAGGAUAACACGACAUGUCACAAAGCUCAAAUCAUCUCAAACUGAUUUCUUGAACAUGACAGAAUUUUUUUUUUUUUGAGUCAGUGACAUUUUCAGCACUAUUCUUUUUUUCUUGGUACUAUUAGAUAAAAAGUGUUCAAAAGUUUGUUUUUUUGGCUUUUAAUGUAAUCCACUGAAAUGUGAGAUUUCUCUAAACCUUCUGUUAUUGUCCGGUUUCACUUCCUGUCUCGCAGCAUCUGCAGUUGAUCCCGAAGUUUCUUGAAAGUUUUUGUACGGCUCUUUAUCACUGUGUGUAUCUAUAACCUCCUAAGUCACCGAAGCAAUAAUAAUCUCCUGUAUCUUCAGCCUGGACUCCACUGAUGAUCAGAUGGAAAUUCUUACCAGAUCCACUUCCACUAAAUCGAGAUGGGGUAGAGGAAUAUCGGACAUCUCCUUCAUAGAUGAGGAGUUUAGGAGCUUCUCCUGAUUUCUUGAGAUUGAAGUCAGUGUGAGCGCCAUUGCCGCUGAAUCUAGAUGGGACGUUUGUGUGACGUUCGCGUAUGUAAUAAAUGAGGAGUUUGGGAGCAUGUCCAGGUUUGUGCUGGUACCAGGACACACAGUUCCUCCAGAGACUACAGUCAGCAACAGUUAUCAUCCUUAGUGUGAACGGACCUUUAAACAUGAUGAGCUCACAUGAAGCCAGGCAAUCCUGAUGCUUCCCAGUAGGUCCUGCUCUCUCCUGGGAAUGAAGCCAUAUCUGAGUCCCCUAUGACAGGUUCAUUGUGACAACAUGCCCCAGUAGCAAUCAAUGACAUGUAAUGGUGUUGUGAAUUAACUCACAAAACACGUUCACAUCAUUUUUGGUGGGAUUCACCAGUGUUGGGUAAGUUACUCUAAAAAAUUAAUUACUAGCUACUCAUUACAUCUUCAACAGUGUAAUUACAUUACUACUAUACUAAUUACUCUCUCUAAAAAGUAUUGCAUUACAUAUUACUAUUACUUUCUAAAUCCCAUAUCAACCUCGACCAGAUGAACAAUACAAGGAUAGACAUAAAACCGCUCCUUUAUUGUUUUAAAUAGAAUUGAUAUACAGUAUUUAAUGCAAUUACACCAGAAGAAAAAUUAAAAGUAAUCCAUUACUUUACUUUUUCAAGGGAAAAGUAAUUAAAUUACUGUAAUGUAAUGCAUUACACCCAACACUGGGAUUCAAACAUGAAGGAGCCAGCUCAUGUACUGCCACUAGAUGGCAGUAGAAUACAGAAUUCCACAGCUUCCGUCUCCAUGGCAACCACACCUUUGACAUCAUUCUCUGAUGGAAACAUUUGUGUGUGUGUGUUUUUACUUAUAUUCUUAUUUGUGGUCUUGUAUUUGCUUUUGGGAUUUUAGUCUUUUCUGUCUUUUGUUUGCUUGAUUUUCUUUUGUCACUUAAUUAGUAUGCAAUCAGACAGACACAAAACUGCUCCAAAACGUUUCUUUGCUUUCACCCACUUUUCAUCUUAACUAAAGAAUCCUUCCAUCAAGCAAUACUGAAACUAAAAUGGCAAAGCAAAAUAUUUUAAUAUAUUUCAUAAUGCAAAAAAAAAGGCUGACUACACUCGUUUUUGUAUGUUUCUCCCAGUAGUUUCCUUUUCAUCUUUUGUUUUUUUUUUUCUCCUACAAGUUCAGUUGUUUUCUAACUUCUCUUAUUGCCUGUAUUACCACUAGGUGGCCUCAGUAAACUUCCAAGAGUGAUGUAAAAUGCCUUAAAACUAUCAAUAUCAAUAUAUAGAAUACAAAAUAAUAAGUGUGUGUAUGCAUGUAUACGAGCUUAUGUGUGUUUAUGCAUAUAUUCACACACAUUUUCCCUGUAUAUUAUACUCUUUGUUUUGUUUCCUGUAUUUUAAAACAUUAUAGGCUAACUGAGAAGAGUGAGCAGAAAGUUAUGAAGAAUAUCCACUGUAAGAAAAGAGCUGCUGCAUCACAGCUUUAUUAGAAGUACAAGAGGAACUUCAGAGUCUGUACAGGCAAAAAUCGACUUUGACAAAGAGAGACCUUGGAGUUAUAAAGGUUGAGAGCCACUGAUCUAGAACAAUCUACUGCCACAGCUUCAGGCUACAUUGGCCAGCAUGUAAUAAUUAAAUUUUCCAAGCAAAACAGCCUUUGGGCUGAAUAUCAUUUCAAUAUUCAUUGUACAGGUACAACAAGAUCAGUUAAAGUUACUGGAUGUUCUCUUCUAGUUGCCAACAAAUUUUCAAUUUCUUUUCAGGCAACAGUAAUGAACUGUGAUAGCGACAAUUGCUUUUCCUUCCUUUGCUAUUUAACAUUUUUUUCAUACAUGUCAUUUCAAAAAUUACGUUGUCAUGCAUAAUUUGGUAUGUUUAAUUCAGAGCUGCUUGUCUGGAGCUUUAGGCUACUUCAGCUGGAAUGGUGUCUUUUCUUUAUUUCUUCUAUUUCUUCAAAUGGCACAUACUAAAAUAGCUGGUAAUAAUAUUAUUCUUGGAAAUAAAAAGAAAAUGAAAUUUCACCUGUUUAUUAUGUUCUCAGACUCAUUUAAGAAGCUUCCUGGAGACAAAACAACAGAACUGUGUAGAUUUGAAAGCCUUAAAAUGUUCCCAGAGUGCAAAAUCAAUGAACACAUCUAAAAGCAUUUACCUUAGACCUUAUACGUAAUGUCUGAAACAAACAUUCAAAUAAUGUGCACCAUCUGCAUUAAUGUCAGCUUUAGCUGUGGCCAAAUCUGUUGUCGCAAUGUCCCAACCUGUGUGAAGGCAAAUUCAAGGGCUCCCUGAAAUGGUUUUAAAAUGCCAGUGCGGGCAUUAAGGCACUUCAGUUCGUGCAGAAGAGCUGCUUUACUGUCAUCAGAAUCCUGAGAGAGCAGUUUGAGAGGUGGAGAUAAGACAGGAUACUGUACACAGGCCACAGAAAACCUCGCUCCUCACCUCUCCUUUAUGGCAAGUGUAAAUCCUGAUUGCCUGCAGCACACUUCCCUUAUUCAUCCUCAAAGUGUUAUAUAUGAAGAAGAUUUUAUACUAGAUGUUUGUCUGACAUUACCUUUAUAAUAUAAGUUUAAUAUUAAGAUUUCUAAUAUGUUUGUUACACAGCUCUCUGGA